GGGGUUGUGGCUCAGUGGUAGAGCACAAAACUUGUGCUGUGAGGCACUGGGUUAGAACCUCAGUACCACA
This 70-nucleotide transfer RNA is filed under the name Marmota monax (woodchuck). RNAcentral's name for it is "tRNA.Thr". Lineage: Eukaryota; Metazoa; Chordata; Mammalia; Rodentia; Sciuridae. The record is from RNAcentral.